GCACAAGCGGUGGAGCAUGUGGUUUAAUUCGAUGCAACGCGAAGAACCUUACCUGGCUUGACAUCCCGGGAACUCCCCUGGAAACAGGGAGUGCCCUUCGGGAACCCGGUGACAGGUGCUGCAUGGCUGUCGUCAGCUCGUGUCGUGAGAUGUUGGGUUAAGUCCCGCAACGAGCGCAACCCUUGUCAUUAGUUGCUACAUUUGGUUGGGCACUCUAAUGAGACUGCCGGUGACAAGCCGGAGGAAGGUGGGGAUGACGUCAAGUCCUCAUGGCCCUUAUAGGUGGGGCUACACACGUCAUACAAUGGCUGGUACAAAGGGUUGCCAACCGCGGGGGGGAGCCAAUCCCAUAAAGCCAUUCGUAGUCCGGAUCGCAGUCUGCAACUCGACUGCGUGAAGUCGGAAUCGCUAGUAAUCGUGGAUCAGAAUGUCACGGUGAAUACGUUCCCGGGUCUU
Molecule: ribosomal RNA, 456 nt
Filed under: uncultured Oceanospirillales bacterium
Lineage: Bacteria; Pseudomonadati; Pseudomonadota; Gammaproteobacteria; Oceanospirillales
Description: bacterial SSU rRNA
Rfam family: Bacterial small subunit ribosomal RNA
Source: RNAcentral